RNAcentral lists this ribosomal RNA (2127 nucleotides) under human gut metagenome. RNAcentral describes it as "bacterial LSU rRNA". It matches the Rfam family "Bacterial large subunit ribosomal RNA", at positions 1 to 2081 of the family's 2925-position model. The record is from RNAcentral.
ACAAGAUAUCUAGGGCGCACGGCGGAUGCCUUGGCACAGGAAGUCGACGAAGGACGCGGCAAGCUGCGAUAAGCCCCGGGGAGUGGCAAACACACCUUGAUCCGGGGAUCUCCGAAUGGGGGAACCCAGCAGGGGUCAUGCCCUGCUACCCCGCCCUGAAUCAAAUAGGGGCGCGGGAGGCAACCGGGGGAACUGAAACAUCUAAGUACCCCGAGGAAGAGAAAUCAACCGAGAUUGCGCGAGUAGCGGCGAGCGAAAGCGCACCAGCCCAAACCCGGGCGCGUGUAAGCGGCAGGCGUUGCCGCCCGGGGGUUGCGGGACUCGCGUCCAGGUGCUGCCCACCUGGGAGCGGUUACAAAUCCACAUGGUAGCGGAACGGCAUGGAAGGGCCGGCCGCAGCGGGUGAGAGCCCCGUACGCGAAACCAUGCGGACCGCUGACGAGUAUCCCGAGUAGGGCCGGGCACGUGAAACCCGGUCCGAAGCCGGGGGGACCACCCUCCAAGGCUGAACACUCUCCUGUGACCGAUAGCGAACCAGUACCGUGAGGGAAAGGUGAAAAGCACCCCGAGAGGGGAGUGAAACAGUACCUGAAACCGUGCGCCCACAAGCAGUCGGAGCAACCUUGCGUUGUGACGGCGUGCCUUUUGUAGAAUGAGCCAGCGAGUUGCGGUGUGCGGCGAGGUUAAGUUUGGAAACGAGCCGCAGCGAAAGCGAGCCUUUAAGAUGGCGAGUGAGUCGCACGCUGCAGACGCGAAGCCGGGUGAGCUAUCCUGGGGCAGGCUGAAGCGGGGGUAAGACCCCGUGGAGGGCCGAACCCACUUCGGUUGAAAACGGAGGGGAUGACCCCAGGAUAGGGGUGAAAGGCCAAUCAAACCCGGAGAUAUCUCGUUCUCCCCGAAAUAGCUUUAGGGCUAGCCUCGGCCGUUAACCCGCGGUGGUAGAGCCACCGGAUCGACGAGGGGGCUUCACCGCCUACCGACUCGAACCGAACUCCGAAUGCCGCGGGUCGAGAGGCCGGGAGUCAGAGGGCGUGGGCUAAGCUGCGCGCUCGAGAGGGAAACAGCCCAGACCGCCCGCUAAGGUCCCCAAGUCAUCGCUGAGUGGCAAAGGAUGUGCGUCUGCCCAGACAACCAGGAUGUUGGCUUAGAAGCAGCCAUGCAUUUAAAGAGUGCGUAACAGCUCACUGGUCGAGUGGACAUGCGCCGACAAUUCACGGGGCUAAGCGAUGCACCGAAGCGGCGGACUGAGAAUUCAGUGGUAGGGGAGCUCUCCGCGGGGGGCGAAGCAGCAGGGCGACCUGCUGUGGACCGCGCGGAGGUGAGAAUGCUGGCAUGAGUAACGAGACCAGGGCGAGAAACCCUGGCGCCGUGAGCCUAAGGGUUCCUGGGCGAGGCUAAUCCCCCCAGGGUCAGUCGGGAGCUAAGGCGAGGCCGAGAGGCGUAGCCGAUGCGCAGCGGGCAGACAUUCCCGCACCGCCGACGGCGCGGCAUUACCGAUGGGGCGACGGAGAAGGGUAGCCGGGCGGGGUUCUGGACGUCCCCGUGAAAGCGCGUAGGGCGCAGGGCAUGGAAAUCAGCCCUGCACGAGGCCUGAGACGCGAGACGAAGCGACCGAGCGAAGCCGGUGAGCCCAUGCUUCCGAGAAAAACCUCUAGGGAGUGCCGUCGGCGCCCGUACCAAAACCGACACAGGUGGGCGGGUAGAACAUACCGAGGCGAUCGGGAGAACCACGGUUAAGGAACUCGGCAUACUGGCCCCGUAACUUCGGGAGAAGGGGCGCCCCCGCCGGUGAAGGCACUUGCUGCCGGAGCUAGUGGGGGCCGCAGCGAAACGGCCCAAGCGACUGUUUAUCAAAAACACAGGACUCUGCAAAGCCGCAAGGCGACGUAUAGGGUCUGACGCCUGCCCGGUGCCGGAAGGUUACGCGGAUGCGUCAGCCGAAAGGCGAAGCGCUGAAGCCAAGCCCCGGUAAACGGCGGCCGUAACUAUAACGGUCCUAAGGUAGCGAAAUUCCUUGUCGGGUAAGUUCCGACCUGCACGAAUGGCGUAACGAUUUGGGCGCUGUCUCAACCGUGGACCCGGUGAAAUUGUACUGUUCGUGAAGAUGCGAACUACCCGCGGAAGGAC